RNAcentral lists this long non-coding RNA (656 nucleotides) under Lathyrus oleraceus (garden pea). RNAcentral describes it as "Pisum sativum (pea) long non-coding RNA (PSAT_LNC030934)". The record is from RNAcentral. Lineage: Eukaryota; Viridiplantae; Streptophyta; Magnoliopsida; Fabales; Fabaceae.
UCCAACUGCAGUCUCGUGUAAUGAGCACACUUGUAUUCAUCAAAGUACUACAUAACAAAACAUAAUAUGCAUGAUUUAGUUAAAAGUAAUAAAUAAUAUGAAAUAUUCGAUAAUAUUAAAACAAAUCCUAAGUUAUAAAUCCAUACCGUGAUUGGAAUCUCUAUUUGAUUCAUAUUAAUGAUUUCCCUCAUAAACCUCAUUACAAAGUAUCCCGCAAUCGAUACGUUGCGCUGUAGAGGACACUACUUAGAAAAAUAAAUAAGAAUGUAUAGUUAUCUUUCUUAUCAAUAGCAUCAAUUAUAAGCAAAAUUGUGAAAUUAAAGUACCUGCACUUUUAUCCACGUAAUGUUGCUGGAUUUAGUACGUGGUACUCGAGCUUGUCUUUGAGAUCGGAACACUUUUAUUGAUCUAACAAAAUAAAACAUAUAUUUAGAACAAUCUCACAUAAAUAUACACGAAUAUUUAGAACAGUCUCACUUACGUAUCAACUAAUUGCUUCAUAUCCGGAUAAUUUGUCCAUUCACCAUCUUCACGGGUCCCAAUUCAGUUCUCAUUCCCAUGUUUACCAUGUCCUUCCUUACAAGAUGUACAUGCAUUUGCUACUUGCUAGUUAUGAUGCAGCAUCCAUUCAUUUUAGGGAAUAUCUAAUUUUGAAC